GUCCCGGUGACGGUACUCCGGAAGGCAGUGGCUUCGCCGAGGCGGAGUGGCACAAAAGUACGGGGUGACGUACAGAAAUCGAGUUAGGCGUGCAUUUGCGGGACGAGCCUGCAACACAAGGUAAAGUCCUCUAUCCAUUAUAGGCAAUGUCCGUAUACUCGGCACCCACGUAUUGAAAGACGUGUGU
This is a non-coding RNA of Desulfobacula toluolica Tol2, 187 nucleotides long. The record is from Rfam. Lineage: Bacteria; Pseudomonadati; Thermodesulfobacteriota; Desulfobacteria; Desulfobacterales; Desulfobacteraceae.